This is a long non-coding RNA of Octopus sinensis (East Asian common octopus), 160 nucleotides long. RefSeq lists it as uncharacterized. Lineage: Eukaryota; Metazoa; Mollusca; Cephalopoda; Octopoda; Octopodidae. The record is from RefSeq and is a predicted model, not a curated record. The transcript has 3 exons.
UAUAGUAGGCACAGGAGUGGCUGUGUGGUAAGAAGCUUACUUCCCAACUCCAUGGAUCUGAGUUCAGUCCCACUGCAUGGCACCUUAGGAAAGUGUCUUCUACUAUAGCUUUGGGCCAACCAAAGCCUUGUGAGUAGAUUCAUGAAAUGGAAACUGGAAG